Molecule: long non-coding RNA, 1627 nt
Filed under: Brassica rapa (field mustard)
Lineage: Eukaryota; Viridiplantae; Streptophyta; Magnoliopsida; Brassicales; Brassicaceae
Description: long non-coding RNA (BRAP_LNC003705)
Source: RNAcentral
UGGGAGCUCAUAGCCAAAAGAAACACCACUAGCAAAUAUAAUUAGCACACUCUCUUAUUACACUCUAGCUUCUCUAGGCCUAUCUCAACUCCUUUUGUCCCUACACUCAUCAUCAAGCAUCCACACAUUCAAAUCAACCAACUCUCACAUUCAUUAAGCACAAAACAUCAGGUGAAUUCUUGCAAAUGGUCCGUUGGUCCAAGUCAUUUGGUUGGGUAAGGGAAGGCUUUUAUUCAAGUGAUUCCAGAGGUUCAAAACAUAUGAUCUUUAAGGUGGUUUACUCUCAAAACAAGUAGCCUUGACAUUGCACAUAAUAUAUCUAAGAAAGGGACCAACUCAUGCAUACAAUGCUCAAUCUCCAUUGUUUUACCCUUUUCCCAAACAUACAAUUACACAAUCAUUCCCAAAUGUCAAACCCAACUCACAUCUCUCACCAAAAGAUCCUAAGAACUUUAACUCUUUCUUUUUGAAAUCUACAAGGGAUUUUUCUACAACCUCAAAACAUUUCUUAGCUCCUAACAACUUUGCUAGCCCCCUUUUCUUUCUUUUCUCUUUUUUUUUUUCGAUUUCCUUUUUUUUUUUUAUUUUUUUUUUUUUUAGGUUGGGGGCCAAGACUUUUCAAAACUAGAGCUAGAGGUUCUCUACUUAUCCCAGAAAAUCAAUUCACUUAAGCACAAAGAGUCUAUCCUUUUUAUUUUUUCAUUUCUCCCAAAUCAUGAUCACAACACUCACCCUCCCACCUAUAGCUAGACAAAAGAGUGUCCAAUCUAGCAAAAAUGAAGAUCAAGCAUUGUCGUUCCCGAUACUCUCAACAUUAUGCGCAUGUAAGACUUUCCGAAGAAGGCCUCACUCAUCAAACAAUGAAAGCUUAAAAGGAAGGAAAGGUUUUGGGAGUGGUCUACCACUAGAGUUUGUCAAAAAGAUUGGCAUAAAAGAUGUGACAACUCCAGUGUGUAUAGCCAUGACUCAGUACACAAGGGACCCUAAGCAAGAAGCAUUAAGUUCAUUCAUUUCUAAUAAGGUUGUAGUUGGCUUCAAAGACUGAGUUUCAGCAAUCAACAAGUUUCAAGAAGAGUUUUCAAGGCUCGAAACAUACAAGUCUUUUCGAGAGGUGCAUGGCUACUCAAUGGUGCAACGUAGUGUUCUUUACAAGGCAUUUAAAAUCAUUGCUCCCAAUGCAAGUGAAUGCAACCUAUAUGCUCUAGACUCUCCUAAUGGUGCAAAUGAUGCAAACUAAAUGAAAAAUCUUUUUUUUUUUAUGCAAAUAGGUGUGCAAUGCAUGACUCAAAUGAAACACAAUCAAAGCAAACAUGAUCAAAUGCUUGGUACCUCCCCCAAACUUGAGUUACACAGUCUCUGUGUUGUCAAAGAAAGAAGGAGAUACCGAGAAGAAAACUAAUAUGCAAAAAAUGAAAUGGUAUAUACAAGGGAGAGAAAGAAGUACCUCCUAUGGAUAAUAGGUGGGGGCAGAUGCCCCAGCAUCGUCGUCGUCAGGAGGGAAGGUGGUGUAGUAACCACCGGAUGCUGAACCGGAGCCUCCAUACCAUGGCUGGCUCUCAACCUCGUCAAUCUCGUGCUCACUGUCAGAAGAAGCGAGGGAUGGGGAUUUGUUGCCGGAAGUGGAAGG